RNA transcript from Ictalurus punctatus (channel catfish), 5408 nucleotides. It is a transcript of the gene named ephrin type-A receptor 4, with no coding region annotated. The transcript has 18 exons. NCBI's taxonomy places the organism in Eukaryota, Metazoa, Chordata, Actinopteri, Siluriformes, Ictaluridae. The record is from RefSeq and is a predicted model, not a curated record.
CGCUCGGCUCAGUGCAGUGUUACAGACAGGGACUAGAGCGAUAACACAGAUACGGAUAUAUUUAUAACGCACGCGUAUUUAUACACACACACAGCGAGAGCGUGUCAGAGAUAUACACAGAACAGACAAAAGAAAGAAAGAAAUACACAGAGUGAGAAAGAAAGAAAGAAAGAAACUGGACCAGAAGAGUGUUGCACAUGGCCGGGAUUAUUUACUCCAUCGCUACACUUUUAUUUGGGAUUUCCGCGGGUAUCAGCACCCUGCAGCGGAUUUAUCCUCCAAACGAAGUUACAUUGCUGGAUUCGAGAUCCGUGCAGGGAGAACUGGCAUGGGUGGCGAGUCCGACGGAAGGAGGGUGGGAGGAGGUGAGCAUCAUGGAUGAGAAGAACGUCCCGAUCCGAACGUACCAGGUUUGUAACGUGUUGGAGUCGAGUCAGAACAACUGGUUGCGCACGCACUGGAUGGAGCGCGGCCCGGCGCAGCGUGUCUACAUAGAGAUCAAGUUCACGUUACGUGACUGCAACAGCCUACCUGGCGCCACGGGUGCCUGCAAGGAGACCUUCAACCUCUACUACCUGGAGUCGGACUCGGAUGAAGAGCACGGUGUACCCGAGCGCCGCUUUGCUAAGAUCGACACAGUGGCGGCAGACGAGAGCUUCACACAGGUGGACGUGGGAGACCGUGUCAUGAAGCUUAACACAGAGGUGCGCACUGUGGGUGCGCUCAGCCAGAGGGGCUUCUACCUGGCCUUCCAGGACGUGGGUGCAUGCGUGGCGCUUGUCUCCGUGCGAGUGUUCUAUAAGAGAUGUCCGCUGGUCGUCAGGAACCUGGCGAGCUUCCCUAAUACAGUAGCAGGUGCAGAUGCGUCGGCGCUGGUGGAAGUGCUUGGUGCGUGUGUGGAGCACUCAGAGGAGCGCCAAGAGCCCAAAAUGUACUGCGGUGCCGACGGGGAAUGGCUGGUGCCCAUCGGGACAUGCUUGUGUCAGCCUGGAUACGAGGAGCGCACUGGCCAGUGUCAAGUGUGUAAGGUGGGAUAUUACCGGUCUUUGGCUACAGAUGGGUCCUGCACUAAGUGUCCUCCACACAGUUACUCCAUGAGGGAGGGAGCUACUGCGUGUGAGUGUGAUAAAGGCUACUACAGAGCAGAGACUGACUCUCCGGCCACGGUGUGCACACGUCCUCCAUCGGCUCCUCAGCAUCUGAUCUCCAGUGUGAACGAGACGUCAGUGUUGCUGGAAUGGAGUCCUCCGCUUUCCACCGGCGGCCGCCGUGACCUCACCUACAGCGUGGUGUGUGAGCGGUGUACGUGGACGUCGGCACGGUGCAUGCCAUGCGGUGACGGUGUGCGCUACUCACCCCAGAGGCUCAGCCUGAACGGCACUCGGGUGUCUGUGCACCAGCUGCAGGCUCACACUAACUACACCUUCCACAUCUGGGCCGUGAACGGAGUGUCCAAAAACAACCCGAAACCUGAGCAGGCCGCAUCCAUCAUGCUUACCACCAACCAGGCUGCUCCGUCAACAGUGAUGUCUGUGCAGAGGAAAGAUGUCACCCGUGACAGUCUUAUACUCUUCUGGCAGGAGCCUGACAAACCCAACGGAGUCAUAUUGGAGUAUGAGGUCAAAUACUAUGAAAAGGAGCAGAAUGAGAGGAGCUAUCGUAUUGUAAAGACCACGUCUCGGAGUGUUAACAUAAAGGACCUGACACCACUGACCUCCUAUGUGUUUCACGUGCGCGCCCGGACCGCAGCCGGUUACGGAGAUUUUAGCGCUCCACUGGAGGUCAUGACCAACUCAGUGCCUUCUCCUGUGGUGGGAGAAGGCAUGAACCCUACCAUCCUUCUGCUGUGUGCUUGUGGCAGCGUCGUUCUGCUCCUCAUCCUCGCCUGUGCGUUCCUCAUCAGAAAGAGGAGGGCCAAAUACAGCAAAGCCAAGCAAGAUGAAGAGAAACACCAAGCAGGAGUGAGGGUGUAUGUGGAUCCGUUUACCUAUGAGGACCCGAACCAGGCCAUCCGAGAGUUCGCUAAGGAGAUAGACGCUUCCUGCAUCAAGAUUGAGAAAGUCAUCGGCAUCGGUGAGUACGGUGAGGUUUGCUGCGGUCGUCUGAAGUUCCCUACGAAGCGUGAGGUGUGUGUGGCCAUUAAGACGCUAAAGGCUGGGUUUACCGAGCAGCAGAGGCGGGACUUCCUGAGCGAGGCAAGCAUCAUGGGCCAGUUUGAUCAUCCCAACAUCAUCCGUCUGGAGGGCGUGGUCACCAUGUGCAAGCCAAUUAUGAUCAUCACCGAAUACAUGGAGAACGGCUCUCUGGACGUGUUUCUCAGAAAGAACGAUGGGCGUUUCACCGUCAUUCAGCUGGUUGGUAUCCUGCGUGGCAUCGCUUCAGGGAUGAAGUAUCUAUCAGACAUGAGUUACGUCCACAGAGACCUGGCAGCACGAAACAUCCUGGUCAACAGCAACCUGGUGUGUAAAGUGUCUGAUUUCGGCAUGUCCAGAGUGCUAGAGGACAAACCUGAGGGAGCUUAUACAACACGGGGAGGAAAGAUUCCGAUUCGCUGGACAGCUCCAGAAGCCAUUGCGUACAGGAAGUUCACGUCAGCCAGCGACGUGUGGAGCUAUGGCAUCGUCAUGUGGGAGGUGAUGUCGUACGGAGAGCGGCCGUACUGGGACAUGAGUAACCAGGAUGUUAUAAAGGCAAUAGAGGAAGGUUACAGGUUACCAGCACCGAUGGAGUGUCCUGUAGCAUUGCACCAGCUCAUGUUGGAGUGCUGGCAGAGAGAGCGCAGCGAGCGGCCCAAGUUCAGCCAGAUCGUCAACAUGCUGGACAAACUGAUCCGCAACCCGAACACACUCAAGAGGAUGGGAGGCGAGACGAGCAGGUCGCACACACAAAAGUCCCACCCAUCAAUACUAAACCACACCCCCUCCAUUGAGCCAUCCCCUUCAUUCAGUUCAGCAGAAGAGUGGCUGAAAGUUAUCGGUCUGGAGAAGUACAGAGAAAACUUCGCUAAGGCCGGACACAGCAGCCUGGAAAGUAUUAUACACAUGAAUCAAGAAGAUUUGGCCAAAAUUGGAAUCUCCUCAAGUGCGCAUCAGAAGAAAAUCUUGAGCAGUCUCCAGGAAAUCCUGUCUGGAAUACAACAAAUAGAAGAGAUAAAGCUUCCUGUCUGAUCUGCAACAGCGCAGUUUAAACCAACAUGAAUGACAAUAUGGAAACAAGAUGGAUAUAAUAUUUUAACUACUCACGCACUUUAAUUGGAUACGGACAAUAGCAGACAGUGGAAUAGCUGCACUUUUGAUGGACUAGUCUGUAUCUCAAGGUCUUCCUGACUGAGGAUUUCUGAAAACUGCAAAAUAAUACUGAUAUAGAUUCAGGAUUUCCUAUCGGAGUCCACUAUGAAAGUGACACUUGAAUGAGCAGUGAGAAUAUUUUUGCUGGGUUUUUUUUUUUUUUUUUUUGAAUGAAGGGAAGCAAUAUCAUCCCCUUCAGGUCAUCUUCUGAACAGCGCUCUUGUUGAUGGAUACAAGUUACUUUUUGGUUCAUUUCUGGGUCCUCUUAAAUACAGAUGUUUUUGUUUUUUGCUCGAGUUUGUAUAUCAGGAACUAUUCAAUUCAAGUUGCCUGGUGACUUUUGAUCAUUUGAGAGAAAACAAACUUUACUAUCUUAAGGGAACAAAGGUCCACAAUUCAGAAACAUUUCUAAGAGGACUAGGAGCAGAUAUGCAGUGUACAGAGAACAUGUGAACCCAGCAUCAUGAAUUUAAUGAGGAUUCCUUCUUCCUGAAUAUAAAUAGACUGCAGCGAGACAUCCUGAGAAACUCAUCACUAUGUUGCGCAAAAUCAAGCACACUCCACAAUUUUUGGAGGAGCUUGAAAUUUUUCUAAAUUACCACAGAUUUCCUGCAGAUUUGGGCCAAGACGCAUCAUGUGAUGUCUGAGAUUCUAGCCUGAACUGUUCAUUUUCUUUUUUUCACACUUGGAAUUUGGGUGUUUCUAAGCAAAUGCAGACAACACAAAAUGGAUCCAUCGAUGCACACGAUAGCUAUAAGUUAGCUAAACUUCUAGCUACUGGUAACUGGUUAGUCUUAAGAUAUAUUCAUGUUGUUUAUUAUGUAAGAACUAAAACACAGCAGGUUGUUAUAGGAAAAAAAUUAACAAUGUGGUGUGAUCCAUAAUUGCUUUGAAAUAAAUUGUUUUCCUAUAACAGCACGUCCCAAACUGUUUGAUUUCAAGUGCUGUCCUCAAGAUUUUCCUGUGGUUUAAAACUUAUUCACGCUGACACCAGAGACUCCUUUGAUAAAUGUUAAAGAUCUCUCAUUACAGAUAUCUUCACCAUUUUAAUAAUUAGAUGCUCUUCUUUAUUAAAUAACAAUCCUUUCUUAUCCAUUUACUAGAUUAUGUAGAUCAUCCAAAAUACAAGUCUCUAUGAAUGAGCUGAUAUUAUAAAACGGAUAAUGUAUUAGAACAAAUGCAUUGAUAUAAACUUGUGAUUUGCUCUAAAAGCUGGAAUUCUCUGAAUUAUCAGAGCUGUUCGUGUAGAAAAUGAAUCAGCCAAUUAUUCGGACCAAUCAGAUUCAAGAAUACAACAGAGCUGUGAUAUGUCAUGAACAGAAAUCAAUAAUGAAGGUUUGAUAGACAUUACACUCCUGCCUUUAACAGGGGAAGCUGUUGACAUUUUGUCAGUCAUAUUUGUUUGUAAUUUGACUUUACAGACUGUCUGAUAUUUCAGAAAAUUCACUUUUCAGCUAAAAAAAAAAAAAGAUAUGAAUGAUUUUUGUAUAUGCACGUAAUUGAGGUAGUACUUGUACAUGAUGUGAACACACAUGCCUGACAUUUCUAUUGUAUUGAACUACUGGAUAAUACAAGACCUUCAGAAAAUCAUUGUAUAUUCCAUAAUGGAGACAUAUACAAAAUCCAUUUAAACGCCAAGAUUGUGGCCUUAAUAUGUUUGGGAAACUGUCCCUGAUCAUCUCACCAAACUUCAGUUCCACAGACCAGAUCCCAGACUCCUAGACAUGAACUGUUCUUUUACAGCUCUGUUGUUCCUUUAUCUCUGUCCAAGAACCCAGCUCGUGUUUUGGGGACAUUUCACAGAUUAAUGUGUUUCCCGGCACACUAAAUCAUUUUAUAUGUACAUAAAUCAUUGUUGUUUUGCUAUGACAUGAACAUAACUGAUGAAAUUCCAACGUUAAAUCUGUUUUAAGCAUAUGCAAAUAAUAAAAUAAAAACAGGAUCUGAAUGUAUUACAUGAUGUGAUGUUACUGUACAUUUUGUAUUAGACUCUUACAGUAUGUGAUUUAUUCAUCCAGCUUGAAAUAUUUCUUCCUUUCUGUAUCUUGAUUAAGUUAGACACAUGUAACUUGUGGGUUUUAUUUAUGGAAUUUUGUAGUUUGCAAAAUAAAGAGGAGAAUA